RNAcentral lists this unclassified non-coding RNA (418 nucleotides) under soil metagenome. RNAcentral's name for it is "partial contains 5.8S ribosomal RNA, internal transcribed spacer 2, and large subunit ribosomal RNA". The stretch from base 1 to 120 matches the Rfam family "5.8S ribosomal RNA", at positions 35 to 154 of the family's 154-position model. The record is from RNAcentral.
GAUGAAGAACGCAGCGAAAUGCGAUACGUAAUGUGAAUUGCAGAAUUCAGUGAAUCAUCGAAUCUUUGAACGCACAUUGCACUCUCUGGUAUUCCGGAGAGUAUGCUUGUUUGAGUAUCAGUAAACACCUCAAAUCUCUUGUUUCUUGUGAAUAAGAGAAUUGGACUUGAGCAAUCCCAACUCUUGCAAAAGAGGCGGGUUGCUUGAAAUGCAGGUGCAGCUGGACAUUCUUCUGAGCUAAAAGCAUAUUUAUUUAGUCCCGUAAAACAGAUUAUUACUUUUGCUGCAGCUAACAUAAAGGUUGAAUGGCCAAUAUGGCUGACUGAUGCAGGAUUAACAGAGAAUUUAUUCUUUGUAAACUCGAUCUCAAAUCAAGUAAGACUACCCGCUGAACUUAAGCAUAUCAAUAAGCGGAGGA